Molecule: RNA transcript, 3259 nt
Organism: Spinacia oleracea (spinach)
Lineage: Eukaryota; Viridiplantae; Streptophyta; Magnoliopsida; Caryophyllales; Amaranthaceae
Exons: 3
Source: RefSeq, a predicted model, not a curated record
UCUACAUUCAUGCCUUGGAGACCAAGGACUUUUCCUUCCCAUUCACUCUUCUUGACUAUACAAAUCAGUCAUGGUACCAAUUGGAAUUCAAAUCAGAAAAUCAAAACCAAUUUUCAAUUCUAAUUUUCCUCUCUGUUUCGAACCAUCACCACCAUCAACAACCACUGCAACCACCAUCUUCAGCCAUCUCCGCCACCAUUACCCGCCUCACCUACCACCCAGCACCACCACCGCAACACCUUCCAUACUCCUCCCCUCCCCGCACGCACUCCACCACCGUCCCCUGCUUCCCCGCUUCGCACUCCCCUGCCUCUCUCCUUCUUACCUCUUUGCUGUACCACCGACGCCACACCACCACACUCCAACCACCUUCAUCAAUAACCGCCCCAAACCCCGGCGAGCCGCCGCCCAAAACCACCCAACUUACCACCCCUUUCCCCUGCUUCACCCUGUUCGCGCAGCACCCCUCCCUCUCCUCGUUAUUUGCCGCCGCGAACCCCACCCCACUACCGUCGACCUGGCCGGCGAAAUCCGGCAGCACCGAGCCACCGAGCCACCCUCCACCCUUCUCUCUUUCCUCCCCUUCGUGCUUCCUCGUGCCUCCCCUGUUCCUUUGCCUCCCCUUUUCUUCGUAUCAGUUUCAAAAAAAAAAGAGAACGAUUUCCAGUAUUGGAACUUUGUUCCUUUUUGUUGCUCAAGCUAAGCCCAAAACUCUUAGGCCCAAACACCUCUAAGUAAGUUUUGCCAUGCAAUUUAAGCCCUAAAUAAAUUACUACUUAUUUUAGCAUUGUUAUAAAUAAAUAAAUGAUUUAGAAACUACUUUGAUUUAAAAUUUUGAUAAAUAUUUCAUGUGUUGAUUUAUGAAAAAUAUUAUUGAUUUUUAAGUAUUUUAUUGAUGUAUGAAAAUAUUUCAUGUAAUGAUUUAAUGGAAUUUAAUAAUACUUUAUUUAAGUUAUUUUAUGAAUUUAUAAACAAAAUAAUAAUAAUAAUAAUAAUAAUAAUAAUAUAAUAUUUAUAAAAAAAUAAUUAGUUUUAAAGUAGUUAUCGUUUUAAUACUAAUUCAAUGAUUAAAUACUUUAAAAGAAAUCAGACUCGGAGCUCAGGACGAACGGACCAACGAAAAGGCUUAGCAAAUCGUGGAAUUAAGGUACUGCUGGGGACCACGGAAACGAGUAGUGGCGAGGAUUUCACCAUUACCAUGUUCACCUAAGUCAAUGUUAAGUUGUAACAAGUUUAAGUAAAGAUUCUGGAUUAAGUUACGUACUUUUAUUAAGGAUUUAAAAAGGAUCAUUAUGUUAAUCUUGGAGUUUAAUUGCUUAUGAUUGAUGGUUGCCUUGUAAUUCCCAAGAGGGAGUUACGGCAGUAAUGUCCCGACCGAAUUAGGUUAAUUCCGCUGCUAAUUAUGCUUUAAUAAGUGAUUUAGAGGUCGGGGUGUUACAAAAUCGAUCAACUAAUUUUGAAGAAAAGUAUCCAACUUUGUUUUGAUUUUCGAAUAUGGGGUUUCAUAUUUGGAAAAGUUGUUGAUCGGCCACUAAUCUUGUGUCACCACCGUAAUUCGAUGUCAUUUGAUGUCGACGAAGACUCCAUCUAUAUGUGCACAUAUUUAAAAAAUAAAUAAACCCGAAUAAAAGUAAGAAACCGGGACAACGUCCGGACCACACACUAGUUUAUUAUACAUUGGAGCCGCCACAGGUGCAUGGCAAAGAGGCAAAACCACAAGACAAGGAAAAAUUAAGGUUUUACUUCUUGGAAAGUAUGAAAAGUUAUAAUUUGUGUGUUUUUCCAACUAAACAUCUCUAUUCGACUGUACAAGUAACACAAUUGAUACUUUUGGUUUGACAUUUGACUUGAUUCAAAAGGUCAAGCCACUUUUAGGAUGUGCCUCCAUCCCUCAAAUAGCUAAAUAAACUUGCAAUUUUUUUUGCCUUUACAGUUCGAGUUGGCUCAUGAGCAACUCUAAUUCCUAAAUUUUCACCUCCCACAAAACAUCCGGUCUCUUUCAUAAGUGGCAAUAAUUUUUUUGAUUUGUUUUUUUUUAUUGUUGUUGCUACGGGGGCGGGAUUGCAGAAUAAUUUGAACCUGAAACAUACAUACACAGAUCCUUAGUUUUAACCAUUAGAUCAAAAUCGCAUUAGUAUAGAUGAUAAUAGUAGAUUUAGCAUGACAACUCCAAUACAAAAUUACACGGAUUAGUGAGACGUGUCUAUUUAAACGAGUAAAACACGAAUUGAUUCACUCCCUAUCGGGUUAUAACUAGAUUUUCUUAUUAACCGAAAAGACAUUCUGGAUUAUAAUUUUAUUUUUAAAAGUUAAAAGGUUCAGACAUUCUUGAUUCUUCAGUUUCCAAAUAAAUCGAAGAAAGAAGUAGAUGCCACAGAGUAUUGUUCUUCCCCGUAAAACAAUAAAUAAAUCGGUUUUGAAGGAAGAAAAGGUCAUUGCCCCAUUUCCUGUCCCAAAAUCCAGACAAUAUUUUGAUCUUUCGAAAUUGGUUGAUGAAAGAAGGUGGAAGUAUGUGAUCAUCCCAUUCAACCCAACGGCAUUCUACAUAGUACGAAUCAUAUGAUUGAUGAUAUGGAACAAGAACUGAGAGUUGCUUCCAUUGUUGAUACUAGAUUUCCCGGUAAGAACAAAGACUCAAGACCAAAACCAGACCCCCAUCGACCUCUUUUGUUUACUGCAAAGGAACUUAGUUCCAGCAUCAUAGCCUCAGAAAGUACACGUACCAUAUGUUCUGUUUCAGUAGCUCUGCUAGUGGUUCUAUCUUUCAUCGAUUAUCCCUUACUUGGAAUUAAUAUCGUGAAUUCAAAGAGCAUCAUUGCUUUGAGGCCACUAUAUAUGCUGUUAGUGACAGAAUUCACUGUCAUAAUUUCAUACCUUGUUUUAGAAAGACGAAAUUCUGUAUCAUUUGAAGAAGAUAGAAAGGGUUCAAAGGGAGGUGGAGUUAAUUGGGAAAGAGCAGAGUUUCUGUUAGAGGGAGGUGUUGUGUUUCAUCAAACGGUACGUGCUGUGUUUAUCGAUUUGAGUGUUUACGUUGUGCUUGUGAUCUGUAUUCUUUCUUUGGUAACUCGGAUUUAGCUUUGCUGAUGCUUUUGUUUGGGUUUAAUGCAGUAACUUGUUUAGUUUGAUUGUAAUACUGAAAUUUUCGGUAGGUUUUCUUUAUUUUUGUUGUAAAUGGAAAUUAACAGACUGCAAAAUAAGGCUGUAUAUAGAACUUUGGACACAAACAAAUACUGGGAUCCUUUUUCCUGAUGUUUACAGA